CUCUCUCUCUCACACUCACUCUGUUCCCGCCUAGAAAAUAUUACUCUCUAUAUCUGUCUCUCUCUCACUGUCUCUCUCUCACUGUCUCUCUCACUGUCUCUCUCUCUCUCUCUCUGUCGCUCACACUUACACUGUUCCUGCCUAGAAAAUAUUACUCUCUCUAUAUCUGUCUCUCUCUCUAUAUCUGUCUCUCUCUCUCUCUCUGUCUCUCUCUCUGUCUCUCACACUCACUCUGUUCCUGCCUAGAAAAUAUUACUCUCUAUAUCUCUCUCUCUCUCUCACUGUCUCUCUCUCUCUGUAUCUCUCUCACUGUCUCUCUCUCUGUCUCUCACACUCAGUCUGUUCCCGCCUAGAAAAUAUUACUCUCUAUAUCUCUCUCUCUCUCUCACUGUCUCUCUCUCUCUCUCUGUAUCUCUCUCACUGUCUCUCUCUCUGUCUCUCACACUCUCUGUUCCCGCCUAGAAAAUAUUACUCUCUAUAUCUCUCUCUCUCUCUCACUGUCUCUCUCUCUCUCUCUGUAUCUCUCUCACUGUCUCUCUCUCUGUCUCUCACACUCACACUGUUCCUGCCUAGAAAAUAUUACUCUCUAUAUAUCUCUCUCUCUCUCUCUCUCUCUCACUGUCUCUCUCACUGUCUCUCUCACUGUCUCUCUCUCUGUAUCUCUCUCUAUAUAUCUCAGACACACAGACUCACAUUGUUCCCGCCUAGAAAACAUUACUCUCUAUAUCUGUCUCUCUCUCACUGUCUCUCUCACUGUCUCUCUCACUGUCUCUCACACUCACACUGUUCCCGCCUAGAAAAUAUUACUCUCUAUAUCUGUCUCUCUCUCACUGUCUCUCUCUCUGUAUCUCUCUCUAUAUAUCUCAGACACACACAGACUCACAUUGUUCCCGCCUAGAAAACAUUACUCUCUCUCUCGGAAGACACACACUGUUAGGGUAAUGAUGAUGUUGAUGUGAGUUAGGGUAAUGUUAGGGUAAUGUUAGGGUAAUGGUUGAUGUGAGUUAGGGUAAUGUUAGGGCAAUGAUGAUGUGAGUUAGGGUAAUGGUUGAUGUGAGUUAGGGUAAUGUUAGGGCAAUGAUAAUGUGAGUUAGGGUAAUGGUGGUAGAAGUCGUAGAGGGGGGAGUAUUGAGAGAUGGUUUAGAGAGGGUAAUGUUAGGGUAAUGGAUGCUGGGUGUUGUGUAGGUCGUUGCUCGGGUCGUUUUUUUGAUCCUCAGGGUUUGGCAAAGGUCAAAGGUUUGCUGCCGCAACAAAGCCAAAGGCAUCAUGGGAAAAUAUCUGACUUGCACUGAAACAGGAAAAAAUGUUGAGGAGAAAAACGUUAUCGUGAACAUUUAUAGUCUCUGAUCAGUUUAAUAUAAACAAAAAGGAACACUUUUCACUUCAUACAAGUUUGUAGCCUAUCGGUCUUUGUUUGAGAGACUGUGUUUGAACUGAACCAGCGUUAUUGAUCACCGGGUGACUGAACCAGCGUUAUUGAUCACCGGGAGACUGAACCAGAGUUAUUGAUCACCGGGAGACUGUGUUUGAACUGAACCAGAGUUAUUGAUCACCAGGAGACUGUGUUUGAACUGAACCAGAGUUAUUGAUAACCGGGAGACUGUGUUUGAACUGAACCAGAGUUAUUGAUCACCGGGAGACUGAACCAGAGUUAUUGAUAACCGGGAGACUGUGUUUGAACUGAACCAGCGUUAUUGAUCACCGGGAGACUGUGUUUGAACUGAACCAGCGUUAUUGAUCACCGGGAGACUGUGUUUGAACUGAACCAGAGUUAUUGAUCACCAGGAGACUGUGUUUGAACUGAACCAGAGUUAUUGAUCACCGGGAGACUGUGUUUGAACUGAACCAGCGUUAUUGAUCACCGGGAGACUGUGUUUGAACUGAACCAGAGUUAUUGAUCACCGGGAGACUGAACCAGCGUUAUUGAUAACCGGGAGACUGUGUUUGAACUGAACCAGCGUUAUUGAUCACCGGGAGACUGUGUUUGAACUGAACCAGAGUUAUUGAUCACCGGGAGACUGAACCAGCACUGAACCAGAGUUAUUGAUCACCGGGAGACUGAACCAGCGUUAUUGAUCACCGGGAGACUGAACCAGAGUUAUUGAUCACCGGGAGACUGUGUUUGAACUGAACCAGAGUUAUUGAUCACCGGGAGACUGAACCAGCGUUAUUGAUAACCGGGAGACUGAACCAGCACUGAACCAGAGUUAUUGAUCACCGGGAGACUGUGUUUGAACUGAACCAGCGUUAUUGAUCACCGGGAGACUGUGUUUGAACUGAACCAGCGUUAUUGAUCACCGGGAGACUGAAGGAGUCACUGUGAGUGCAAUAAGCCCUGUCCACAACACACACAACUUAACUAGUCCACAUUCCCCAACUAACUUAACUAGUCAAUAGUCAAGAGGAAGGGGCUGGGGUCUAACCAGAGGAUUUUCUUUGGAAUAAAUUUGUCUACGUUAAAAGUUGUGUGUGUGUGUGAGCUGUCAUUGUGAAUAGUGUUAUCAGGGACGUCAUUCUGAAAGGACAAUCUCAGAGAUACCUUACGAGGUCAACAAUCAAUAAGUUUUUUUUUUUCUGACUGAAUUCAACCAUGAUAUUAUUCCGAUAUUAGUUAUUUAAAUCCUCCGCAUCCAGUCUGUUGUAGAAAAAAGGACAAAGCAUUCAUCUCCACAGCGGCGUACUUACACGGUGUGGCCACCAAUCAGGAAGGGUGGCGCCCCCCAAAAAAAGGAUCAAUCACGGUGAUUUAUUAAAUCGUUUUCUGUGACUCUGCUGUUUUUUAAUGUGAUGAUUGAUUACUGAAGUCAUGAGUUUAGUAACUGAAAUGGAAAUACGUGAUUACAUUUAUUAUUUUUUUUGGGGGGGGGGGGGUCCAACUAUCGAUAUCCUACAUAUCCAUCGAUCAUCAAUAAUAUCCAUUUAGUUAGUGCAUGACUAAUUUAUUGGAUUAUAAAUAUAUUAUUUCUUUGAGUAAUAAAACACCUGGGGG
Molecule: long non-coding RNA, 2989 nt
Filed under: Salmo salar (Atlantic salmon)
Lineage: Eukaryota; Metazoa; Chordata; Actinopteri; Salmoniformes; Salmonidae
Description: lncRNA (ENSSSAG00000096682.1)
Source: RNAcentral